CACAUGAUUAUUGUCUUGUAUAAUAGCUCGUUGUUAAACUAUCUGCAUGUUCUUUUGUUUUCAUUUUGCUAGCUAUUCUUAUUAGUAUAGCUAAUAGCUGUAGCUAAAUACAGCAGUACAGAACAGUAUGCUAUAGUCCAUCAAAGUUGUCCACAGAAGACGGUUGUUACCGAUCAUAUUUUUAAUUUGUGUGCUUGGGAUAGAUCAACGAGGUGGUUUCAAUAGUUUCCAAGCAGUGAAAUGCCACCAGGAGAAGUGUCCGUUACUUUAUUUCCCUCAUGGCUACUGUGACGAUUUAGAACCGACUGGCUUCUCAAUGUUCUGUUCGUAUAGAAAAUGCAUGUUUUUUGUUCUUUCAUAUUAGCACUGUCAAGCAAAUGAGCCACCUCUUCUGGGAUUAUACCCUUGUGGAAACAUGAUACACUAACAGAACCGAUAUUCGUUAUUAUGGUAACAAUUCUGCAUGUAGCGUCGCUGACAGAACGACAAAAUAAGAAUAUGAGGGAUUUUGAGUACUUCGACGGGUUUCUGGGUUAUUUUCCCUUAUUUGUGGUGCACUGCGCAACAUUAAUGAUCCCCUCCAUCUUCAUAUUUCAAUUUGCUAACGUAAUGGUUCGACUGCAUCAGCGCCGCUGUAUGGAUGCCAAGGCCAUCCAGCACAGUUCGCUGGGGGCGCAAUGGUCCAGCGCAGUGCUGGAGCACAGUAUUCGGUUUAGGUGGUGCUGGUAAUGUGGAGUUGUAAGGGGUGCUCAGAAAAAGUGUCAAGUAGGUCCAAACUUUUGCAUACAGAAGACAUGAAGUUGUUCGUGAUGCACCGAUGGUGGAGGCUUUCAUGUCAAGAUGGCCUGGUCUAUUUGACAUUAGAGAGAUAAAUGCUGAGUUUAAGAGAAUUACGACCAUACCGCUUCAUUCAAAGUUCUUCUCUCAACUGGAUCUCCACUGUGACAACCUGAGGAAGCUCUUCAAAAGAAGAGGAGGACAGCUCGGACAAAAGCUUAGACAAAUUGUUGCACAAAUGGAUGAUUGUGGAGAUGUUGAAGUUGCACGGGAGUGUGUCAUUAAGGGAGUCUGCAUAUAUAUGGGAGAAGAUCCAGCCAAGCUCAUCCAUAAAUAUGUGGGUGUGGAUGAAGCUAAUAUUGAAGAGGGUAUUGGAGCCACCACCAUCGGUGUUUUUCAUCUUAAAGACUGUUCUUCAGCAGAUGAAGACAUCGGGGUCGUUCUUGAAGGCAUCAGAGUGUUGUCCAAUUUGGAUAGUGUGCCAACAGCUGUUGCAAUGCUUUUUGGACUAAUAUAUGCAAUGAACCUCGCCUACCCUGCUGACCUCCGCUACACUUUCGAGGUAUUACAGAAAAUAGUAAUGGAACUGGAUGGAGGUAAACUGUCAAACAAGGCAUUGUCCCUUAAAAACCACCUCUAUGAGUGAAUAGAGAUUUUCUCAUGUUUAAUUUGGUAAUGUUCUCAUGUUCAGUUUUUGUAUUUCUUGUUGUAUUCUUUAUUGGAGGACACAAAUGUAUUUUUUUUAAUGAGGAACGUUCACCUGAAAGACUGGGCUUCAGCAGCUUUUACGUUCCAGUAUGUAGUGCUACUUAUAACACUACUGCUACUUAGUGUUACAAAUAUGUUAAAGAAAUUUGCUAUAAAAGUUACAUUACACUGAUUUAUUGUCAUGCAAAUUACAUGUUCAGAAUUGUUUUAGAAAUUUUACAUACUUUUCUAAAUCAUUUUGUCUUUCAUAUUAAUAUCUUAUAGAUAAACUUUUAAGAUGUAGUGUUUCCCUUGUAAAAAAAUGUUCUUGUUUUUACACAUUUGUUUAGACUAUCACUAUGGUAUUACAUAGUAAUCAGUAAGACAUGUGACAGAUAAUUGGUGUAAAAAGUUUAGCUUUGUCUCAUAUUGACAUAACAUACUGAUAGUUUUAACAAAUAUGUUAAAAAAGUCUGUAAAGCUAUGUACUGCAGCAUUAAUUAAUGUCAUUUGAACACAUGUUCAAAAACAGUUUGUAGAAAUUUGACAUACUUUUCAUAAUCUUGUACAUCUUUUAUAGAAAUAUGUCUCAGGUUUUCCUUCAUGUUCAUAAAAAUUGUAUUUACUAAAUUUAAAAAAAUUCAUGUCUCUUCAAUUUAAAAUAUGUUAAGUACAAAAUGGUGUGAUUUAAAUGUUCUUUCAAAUAAAACUAAUUUGUUCAGUAGCACUCGCUUUCUUUGUCUUUCUUGUCAAAUAUCAGUCUUUAAUUUUUUACAGUAGAACAGCAUAUAGAGAACUUGAAAAAAUUAAGUAGGAUUUAAAGCUGUAACAUGUGUUCCAUUAACAUGAUAGAAUUUUGUUCGCCCAACACAAUUUCAUUGAGUAAUACUGGCAAUGAAAAAUAAGCUGGUGUUAUUCAUUACAAUAGUGUUGCUGAGACAUAAAAAAAGUUAUUGAUAAUACAUAAUAUAUUUACAUUAUGGUAAGAGA
This is a long non-coding RNA of Xiphophorus maculatus (southern platyfish), 2454 nucleotides long. RefSeq lists it as uncharacterized. The transcript has 5 exons. Lineage: Eukaryota; Metazoa; Chordata; Actinopteri; Cyprinodontiformes; Poeciliidae. The record is from RefSeq and is a predicted model, not a curated record.